Danio rerio (zebrafish) is the source of this 729-nucleotide non-coding RNA. NCBI's taxonomy places the organism in Eukaryota, Metazoa, Chordata, Actinopteri, Cypriniformes, Danionidae. The record is from Ensembl.
UGAUAAAUGGUACAUUUUACCAACACAAAUAAAGUUUAAUUGCUAAAUAUACAGAUGAGUAGCAUAACAUUUUGCAUUAGUGAAGGAAGAGCCAUUACCAAACUCUGCAUUUCCUCUUCAGGGGCUGAAGUUGAUGAGUGGUUACAACAUUUGGGCAACUACCUAAGCAUGAUACAGAACAAUCAACGUCACCAUUGUGGUGAAAGUGAACUGAUUGCAUCCCACUCUGCCUUUCAGCUACAAAGGUGUCCUGGAGGCCCACAGAUGCAUCAAGUCCAAGUGCUUGAAGGAAGAUCGACUCGUUUAACUCGACAACUAUGAAAGCCAUCCAAGGAAUGAUAUGAGCUCUUGGAGGAGGAGGGCUGAUCGUCGGGGAAUUUCUAGUAAAUUGAGAGCUCACAGACACAAACAGGACCUUAUUGGGCGGAUCAGGGAUGUCACAUCCCUGAGGGAAAGGAACAUCAACUUCCACAUCUCGCUUCUCUCUCUCUCUCUCACUCCAAACUCACAUAAACACUCACACACAUGGAAAUAACACCCAUUACUCCUCAUUCAUCACUCAAACACUUACACCAUGAAUACCACCUCAUCUGCUCAUUUUAGCGAUUAUAUAUCUCUCUCUGCUAUAGUCUUAUGGUCUAUCACUUUAAACACUCUUUAAAGCAGAUUGGAUUCUAUUUGACUAUCAAUCUUUUUAGCGUUCAUCUGCCGAAAUAAAGUGAUUCUACU